AAAAUGUUUAUAAAGGAUCUCUAUGCAAAUAAGAAAAGGACGUAAGAAUGAACGAAAGGUUAUAGGGAAAACAUAAAAAAAAGCUAGAAAUAGCAAUUGAAGAUCUAUAAAUAUCCGAGGGGAGACCAAGAAAAGACAAGAAACGCAGUGAAUUGAAACAUCUUAGUAACUGUAGGAAAAAAAAUCAAAAGAGAUUCGGUAAGUAGUGGUGAGCGAAAGCCAGAGCAGAGUAAAAGAAGACCAUUAGAAGAAGACUGAAAUAAGGGUGGAAGUCCAAGGCAAAAUAAGGUGAAAGUCCAGUAAGGGAAAGGACUAAUGGUAAAGAAGUAAAACGAAGAAAGGAGGAAUUAGUUUGAAUAAUGGGGGUCCACCCCCAAACUCAACAUAUGCUUAUUUGACUGAUAGUGAACAAGUACUGUGAAGGAAAGAUGAAAAAGAAAAUUUAGGAGAAGAUCUAAUAAAGUGAAAAGAACGUGAAAUUGUAAACAUGAUGAGCAGUUGGAAGUAAAAUAACAACGUACCUUUUGUAUAAUGGGUCAGCGAGUUAAUAAAUCGUAGCAAGCUUAAGAUGAUAAUUGUAGGCGUAGCGAAAGCGAAUCUUAAUAGGGUGUGUUAGAGUUACAUUUAUUAGACCCGAAACCAAGCGAUCUAAUUAUGAACACGCAUUUUAUACUUUUUGUUAUAAUUUGGCGGAACCCGUGACUGUUGCAAAAGUUUGGGAUGAUUUGUGAUUAGGGGUGAAAGGCUAAUCAAGCUUGGUGAUAGCUGUUUUUUACGAAAUCUAUUUAGGUAGAGUGGUGGUAGAGAAAGAUUUAUAGUGGUAGAGCACUGAGUAGUUAACCUAAGGUUAUUAUUUAAACUUCGAAUACUAUUAAAUAAGGUCCCCACUAAGCAGACUAUGAGCGCUAAGGUCCAUAGGUCGAAAGGGAAACAGCCCAGAUUGUAAGUUAAUGUUCUUAAAUAAUAGUGUAGUGUCAAAGGCAAGGAGAAAGUGAAGUUAAUUGGAAAGUAGGAUUGGAAGCGACCAUCUUUUAAAGAAAGCGUAAAAGCUCACCAAUUUAAGGCGUUCUCUAGCCAACAAUGUACAGGAACUUAAUAUUAUACAGAAACUACAAAAUUAAAAAAUUGGUAGUAAAAUCUUCCGUAUAAUUGUGAAGUUAAAUUAAGAAGAUUUAAUGGAGUUAUCGGAAUAAAGAAUGCUGAUAUGAGUAAUGUAAAUAAGGUUAAAACCUUAUCGCUGAAAAUUAGAAGUUUCCUAAUAAAAAGGUAGACUGAUUAGGGUUACGCGAUCGCUAAGAUUAAUAUGAAAAUAAAAAAUCGAUGCGCAUUUAGAUUAAUAAUUCUAACGUUUUUAUUGAAGUUUUAAUUGACAUGUGUAUAAAAUAUAAUUAUAUUAUACUUAAAUUAUAGAUUAUGUUUUAUAUAAGUUUUAAAAAUAGAUUAAAACAAAAAGUAUUUCGAUAUUUUUUAAAUAAAAAAUCGUACUUAAACCGACACUGGUUAAUUGAUAGAGUAUAUUAAAGUGUAGAAUGAAUGAUUCUGAAGGAACUCGGCAAAAUGACUCUGUAACUGCGGGAGAAAGAGUACCUUUAUUUGAAAGAAUGAAGGUCACAGAAAAGAGGGGAUGGCGACUGUUUAAUAAAAACACAGGAUUCUGCAAAAUGGUAACAUGAUGUAUAGGGUCUGCGACCUGCCCGGUGCUCUAGGAGGAAAAGGAGAAUUGCAAGAUUUGAAUUGAAGUCUGAGUAAACGGCGGCUGUAACUAUGACGGUCCUAAACAUACUUUGGGUCUUUGUAUUGGUAACAUACAAAUAAUAAUUUGGCUAUAUGCUGGAAAGUCUGUUUUUAAGAAUAUUAUUAAUAUAAAAGGAAUUUUGUUAUAAUAUUUAACUUAUAAAGUAUCUUUAAAUUGUAAAGUUUAAAGUGCAGAUAAUCAGCAGGGAAGUUCACUGAUUUAAUAAAAAUAAAUUAUAACCCCUCAACGACUACACGCCGAAUAUCCAUUAUUUGAGAGACAUAAUGGAUAAUGAUAUAGUCUGAUCUUUAUAGCGAUAUAAAGGUUAUUAUUUAAAUUUUUAAAUAAUAACGAUUAAAUAUAAUAAUUAAAAAAAAGAAAAAAAUGAUUAAACAAAUAAUAAUAGAUAUAAGUAAGCAAAUAAAUAUAAAUAUAAAUACGGAACACUUAGUUGUUUCACAAGGACUGAAUUAAUAAAUUUAAAGAAUGCAUUAAUAAAAAAUUUCAAUAUUCCAGCUGAAAUUAAAUUUCAUAAAAUAAGUAAAUAUGGAAUACCAGAAUAUAGAAUCCAUAUUUAUGCAGAACAUUGUAAAAUAUUUAAAAAAUUAGUAGAACCUUAUAUAUAUGAUU
Molecule: ribosomal RNA, 2365 nt
Filed under: Dictyostelium intermedium
Lineage: Eukaryota; Evosea; Eumycetozoa; Dictyosteliales; Dictyosteliaceae
Description: bacterial LSU rRNA
Rfam family: Bacterial large subunit ribosomal RNA (bases 1-1847)
Source: RNAcentral